Molecule: long non-coding RNA, 1917 nt
Organism: Lonchura striata (white-rumped munia)
Lineage: Eukaryota; Metazoa; Chordata; Aves; Passeriformes; Estrildidae
Source: Ensembl
AAAUUCUGAUGCCUGAGAAUGCCAGAUGGCAUCCCAGGUGAGAUGGGAGCUGUAGGCAUGUAGUUCAGGUAGCCAUCAGCACCAAGGUACAUAUCUGCAGGAUGUGGGUAUGAGAAGUGCCAGCCCAGGUCUGCUUCUGCUGCUUCAGUGUUGACUAGGCAUACUAAAAACUUCUUUGUGGUAAGGAAUGUCCUCUCUUCUCAUCAUUUUGGUACAUUUCUGCAGCCUCUCUGGGUUUGUAUGAUGCAUGUCUGAAAAGGAAACAGGAAGGAGCUGCAAAUGGAAAUUUCAAGCUGUCAGCAACAGAGCAAACCCCAAUCAACUUCCCAUAGCCAGAGCGUAAAACCCAGGCUGUGCACUUCAGCUUCAAGUGACAGAAGAUGCUGAAUUUUACACAGUGUCUUCGGAAAUCAGCAAGUGCUGGAGAUGAAAAAAAUGUCUUUGUCUUGGUUCUAGCUGCCCCAGGAGAGGGCCCAGCUUCCAGCAUCCCUCGGCACAGCUCUGCCUGUUGCCUGUGAGCCCUCCCUGAGAUGCUGCUCCUUAGGCUGGCCACCUUUUUUUGUGUGGAGGUGGCUGUGGGAGAGGAGCUUGCCAGGUAUAAAAGCUCUGCUGUGCCGUUUGCUGAUGGGGGAGAGAACACUCCGUGGUCUGUUUUGUUCACAACAUAAAUCACAGUGUCACAUUUGUCUUUGGCUUUAUUAGAAAUGUACCAGGGAGUUUUAGCCCAUAACUGUAUAUAUGCAUGUCCAGCUGCUAUGAAAAUGCAUGUGAAUAGAACAGGAGAAAAGAGCUAUGAUAUGAGAGCCGAAUACCUGUAUUGUCAAAUAUUUCUGUGCGUACACCAUCACCCCAAUCCAGAACUGGUCACCACAAACAGUGCAUGGAAGAGUACAGAAUUUAUUCUGAUCUCUAGUUAAUCAGUUUCUCACCCAAGGAUGAGUGUGUGACCUUUUUCUAGGAAAGAGCCAUUCCUACCAGCUAUAUAAUUUCACAGAUCCACAAAACAAACAUGUUGCCAUUUUGCGAAACCCUCAUACCUAUGGCAUUCUCAUAUCCUGUGAGGUGUGGAUUUCAGGUGAGCGCUGCUGCAUUCUUUGAUUUCUUUGCUAGGCUGAAGGAGCAUGUACAAUGCAUGUGUAUCUGUAAGCUGAUAUAAAUCCAACUGAGACUAAAAAAAUUAGCAGUGAAAUUGUGCAAGUUUUGCAGACUUAGUGUCCCACACAGGUGGUUGUUAUGCUGGUCUGCAUUCAUACGGGUGAGGGCUUCCUUAUAUGCAGUGUAAGGAUGAGUGAAAGUGUGAUUGUCCCAUAGUACUGACAGAUUUAAAACAUUAUUUUCUAGAGCCAUGAACUCUAGACUUGGUAGAAUGGACAGAGAGAGGAUAAUUUUCCUUGAAAAGACUGGGUAGCUGAAUAGGGAUUCUUUUAAAUAGGAUGAAAGUAAGAGAGCAAGGGGUGCAGAUCAUCAGUGCUUCACAGUUGGAAAAAAGAGUGUGAGCAUUUUCAGUCUGUGGGGAGAUGAAUGGAGAGAGAAAGCAAGUCCAGAAUAUGUGAAGGUAGAAUCUUCAUAAGGCCUUGCUGCAGGGCUUGUUUUCUGUGCUAGUGGUUUGGGGAACUGGUAAAACUGGACUGGGACAUUAAAGGCUGUAAUCCCAAUUCAUCAUUUAUAGCCUGCCCGUGUCCAGGCAGACAUGUCCAUCCCAGCCUUCUCAGAUAUAGUGAAUUGCUGUAUUUCACAAUCAUGGGAAGGGCUUCCCAGCUGCACAAUCCAAACGUUUUGAAGUGACACAUGGUGCAUUAUAUUAACUUGGUUCAGACAACCAGCUUUAAACAUCUGAAUCUGAUUUCUUGAUGCUGAUUCCUCUUGCUCAAUCUUUAUUUCAGCUGUGUGGAAUUCUCAGACCUUUCUGACCUUGAC